This 31-nucleotide ribosomal RNA is filed under the name Fusarium oxysporum. RNAcentral's name for it is "partial 18S ribosomal RNA". The record is from RNAcentral. Lineage: Eukaryota; Fungi; Ascomycota; Sordariomycetes; Hypocreales; Nectriaceae. RNAcentral also lists the same sequence under 1 other name.
CUUCCGUAGGUGAACCUGCGGAGGGAUCAUU